Molecule: long non-coding RNA, 726 nt
Organism: Anopheles merus
Lineage: Eukaryota; Metazoa; Arthropoda; Insecta; Diptera; Culicidae
Exons: 2
Source: RefSeq, a predicted model, not a curated record
AGAAGCGGAUGAAGUAGCCAGAUAGUGAGCAUAUGCUGGACGGAAAAUGUAUGCAGCGGCUGGACAUAAAAAAAAUCAUAUCGAACGACACGUUUCUAACCGUAGAUUAACAUCAAACCAGUCUCUAACAGCACGUGAAUUUCAUCACACGAGAUUCUUUCCGUCCAAGAACAGUCCUGUGAUCUAGUGAUGGGCGUUUCGGAGCGCACCAACGGCUCCGGACUAACGGGUCCGGAGCCAGCUACGCUCCGACGGCUCCGUAGCCGGCUCCGCUCCAAGGGCUCCGCAACCGGUUCCGGACUAACAGCUCUGCACUCACGGCUCCAUUCCAACAACUGCGGAGCCGGCUGCGAGUCCACUGUUCCAGAGCCGUCGACGAAUCAACGGCUCCGAACUAACGGUUCAAUAGAGACAGCAUUGCAUGCUAGCCUAAUCAAAAAACGAAUAUAUCUUCUCGUGGAAGCUAACACACGAUGUGAUUGCAGUAUUGACAUGUAUGACGUCAUAAUAUUUUUCAUGUUUGAUAGAGGCAGAUAAACCCUAUCCACAUUAUUUCACUUUUCAUACAAAUUAUAUGAUAAAGAGAAGGAGAAAGAGAUGAAUAUGAGGGUCACCGAGAAGAGCACUUGUGAAGGAAGAGUAGUGGCUGAGCCGGGGAGUAAAUGUUGAACGGUCCUGUUGUAACAAUUAUAAUUAGGAAAUAAACUAUAAGUAUAUUUGUGCUUA